UACGAAAGGGCCUAGCGUUGUUCGGAAUUACUGGGCGUAAAGCGCACUUAGGCGGCUUGGUAAGUUGGGGGUGAAAUCCCAGGGCUCAACCCUGGAACUGCCUCCAAAACUGCUAGGCUAGAGGAUGCGAGAGGUUGGCGGAAUUCCGAGUGUAGAGGUGAAAUUCGUAGAUAUUCGGAAGAACACCAGUGGCGAAGGCGGCCAACUGGCGCAUUUAUGACGGUGAGGUGCGAAAGCGUGGGGAGCAAACAGG
This 253-nucleotide ribosomal RNA is filed under the name uncultured bacterium. Its description in RNAcentral is "partial 16S ribosomal RNA". It matches the Rfam family "Bacterial small subunit ribosomal RNA", at positions 524 to 776 of the family's 1533-position model. The record is from RNAcentral.